This 489-nucleotide long non-coding RNA is filed under the name Mustela putorius furo (domestic ferret). Its description in RNAcentral is "lncRNA (ENSMPUG00000028937.1)". Lineage: Eukaryota; Metazoa; Chordata; Mammalia; Carnivora; Mustelidae. The record is from RNAcentral.
UAUUUCCCAGGCUCCCUUGCAGUUAUAGGGGACCAGGGGACACGGUGUGACUGAUGAACCAUAAAUGACAAUCUGCUAGGACUCCCGUGGACACUUUUGCUUCCCUCAUGAAAGACACAAACUUAGUUGUCCUUUUGCUGCUUUCUCCAGCUGGAACACAGCCAUGAAGCACGACGCUAUUGCAAUCAGCCACAUCAGGACUACUUACGUCAUUUUGAGCUAUUAUCACAAGGUGCUGUAGAGGAGCUGACUUCAAAGCAACAGAAAUGUAUUUCUCAUCCUCCUGGAGGCUGAAGUCCGCGGUGAGGUGCCAGUAUCGUCUGGUUCUGCUGUCGAAGGUGAGUUUGCGUUGCUUGAGAUUAAGAACCCUGAUGGAGACAGCAACAUAUUCCGUAUUGCCCAUUCUGAAAGUCCCCUUAACAACAUCAACCCAGGGCUUUUGGGUAUGUGAUGAACUUUAUUAAGGUAUGGAAAUACUAGUGAACAGAG